GCGUCAUGCUGUCGCAAACGCGCACACCUUUGCCGUAAAGCGGGCCGGCGCGCGUUGUCCUAUCCCAGGCUGAUAAUAACUUCAGCCGACUGACCCGGAAGGGGCUCCUCCUCCUAGCGCUGACCCUGCCCGGCCAGGCUGGAGUUCUGAUGGCAGAGACCCGCAGACGGGAUUUGCUAUUGACGACCUCCUUGGCUCCAGAAAGGUGACAGAAUGCGUAGCCUGGCCAAUAUCCUUGAAUAAGAGCACAUACAAACCUUGAAUCUUACGUAUGGAAGAAAAGGAAACGUAAGGGCAGUAUCAAUGACUUCUCAGUGUACCUGAGUGUACCAGCCUGAUCACAGUAUAUUGAAAAGAACAAGCAUACACUCCCUUUCCAACACCCAGUCUUAAAAAGCAGUCAGCCAAGAAUUUGGGAAAGUCUUUAAUUGGAAAGGCAGCAAAACAAUGGGAUAGUCAGACAAAAGAGCUCUUAAGACUUUCGAAAUGGAAAGCAGAAAAGAAAAAAAUAAAAUAUUUGAAAGCAUGAUUGAAGAUGGAAAUAUAGCUCAUUAACAGAGUGACCCCGGGCUUGACCCAAUACAGAAAGGAGGCGGGGGAGGAGUGAGAAGAGAGAAAAUACAGCUGAGGAAAUCUCCCAGGAGGUGAAAAAUAAAACAGCAACUAUGAAAAUUUUAAGAAAUUGACUCAGGAAGCCCCACAUUCAAAUAACUAUACCAGGGCUGGGGAGUUGAUUCAACGGUUAAGACCACUGACAGCUCUUCCAAAUGACCUGGGUUCAAUUCCCAGCACCCACAUGGCAGCUCACAACUGUCUAUAACUCCAGUUCUAAAAAUCUGAUGCCCUCUUCUGGACUCUGUGGGCACCAGGCAUACACAUGAUAUUACACAUGUAUGCAGGCAAAACACCCAAACACAUAAAAUAAAAGUAAAUAUUGUGUUGACUAACAUUUAAAUUUUUUUAAUUAACUGUAUCAGAAAGACACUUGGAGAAAUCUACGUGUAGCGUGUUUUUUCAAAAAAAAAAAAAAAAAAACUUGACUAUGCACACAUGAAAAUCCAGAGUGCCUGGCACAGUGGAUACCACCAAUAAAGAUGCAACCAAGAGGUCUGGGGCGAAGAACAGACAAAUACUCAUUGGAAUAACUGCAUUUCUUAACAUCAGAAAAGUAGAGAACAAUAGGCCAGUGCCUUUAUAAUGCAAAAUAGUGACAGUCUGGAAUUCUUUACCCCGCUAUGCACUGAGUAUGAAUAGAAGAGAUCCAGAAAUUUAUCCCCCCCCCCAUGCACUUUCUUAAGAAGAUACUUAGAAAUGGCAAAUCAAUAAAAAAGGCAAAAGAUUAACAAA
Peromyscus maniculatus bairdii (prairie deer mouse) is the source of this 1347-nucleotide non-coding RNA. Lineage: Eukaryota; Metazoa; Chordata; Mammalia; Rodentia; Cricetidae. The record is from RefSeq and is a predicted model, not a curated record.